AACGAACGCUGGCGGCAUGCCUAACACAUGCAAGUCGAACGAGACCUUCGGGUCUAGUGGCGCACGGGUGCGUAACGCGUUGGAACCUGCCCUUAGGUUCGGAAUAACUCCCCGAAAGGGGUGCGAAUACCGGCGAAUGUCUUCGGACCAAAGAUUUAUCGCCGUUGGAUGGGCCCGCGUUGGCUUAGCUAGUGGUUAGGGUAAAAGCCUACCAAGGCGACGAUCCGUAGCUGGUCAGAGAGGACGCGCAGCAACACUGGUCCUGAGACACGGGCGAGAAUCCUACGGGAGGGAGCAGUGGGGAAUAUUGGACAAUGGGCGAAAGUCUGAUAGAGCAACGCAGCGUGAGUGAUGAAGGCUUUAGGGUUGUAAAGCUAUUUUAACCGCGAUGAUAAUGACCGUAACGGGCGAAUAAGCUACGGCUAACUCCGUG
RNAcentral lists this ribosomal RNA (433 nucleotides) under uncultured bacterium. RNAcentral's name for it is "partial 16S ribosomal RNA". It matches the Rfam family "Bacterial small subunit ribosomal RNA", at positions 29 to 507 of the family's 1533-position model. The record is from RNAcentral.